This 896-nucleotide ribosomal RNA is filed under the name Eimeria sp. RNAcentral describes it as "SSU rRNA". It matches the Rfam family "Eukaryotic small subunit ribosomal RNA", at positions 193 to 1093 of the family's 1831-position model. Lineage: Eukaryota; Apicomplexa; Conoidasida; Eucoccidiorida; Eimeriidae. The record is from RNAcentral.
UGGAGGGGCUGUGUUUAUUAGAUACAAAACCAACCCACUUUGUGGAGUCCUGGUGAUUCAUAGUAACCGAACGGAUCGCAGUUGGCUUCGGCCCGCGAUGGAUCUUUCAAGUUUCUGACCUAUCAGCUUUCGACGGUAGGGUAUUGGCCUACCGUGGCAGUGACGGGUAACGGGGAAUUAGGGUUCGAUUCCGGAGAGGGAGCCUGAGAAACGGCUACCACAUCUAAGGAAGGCAGCAGGCGCGCAAAUUACCCAAUGAAAACAGUUUCGAGGUAGUGACGAGAAAUAACAAUACAGGGCAUUUUAUGCUCUGUAAUUGGAAUGAUGGGAAUGUAAAACCCUUUCAGAGUAACAAUUGGAGGGCAAGUCUGGUGCCAGCAGCCGCGGUAAUUCCAGCUCCAAUAGUGUAUAUUAGAGUUGUUGCAGUUAAAAAGCUCGUAGUUGGAUUUCUGUCGUGGUCAUCCGGUACCGCCCGUAUGGGUGUGCACCUGGUUUGCCCUCGGCUUUCUUCCGGUAGCCUUCGCCGCUUAACUGCGUGCGUUGGUGUUCCGGAACUUUUACUUUGAGAAAAAUAGAGUGUUUCAAGCAGGCUUGUCGCCCUGAAUACUUCAGCAUGGAAUAAUAAGAUAGGACCCUGGUUCUAUUUUGUUGGUUUCUAGGACCGAGGUAAUGAUUAAUAGGGACAGUUGGGGGCAUUCGUAUUUAACUGUCAGAGGUGAAAUUCUUAGAUUUGUUAAAGACGAACUACUGCGAAAGCAUUUGCCAAGGAUGUUUUCAUUAAUCAAGAACGACAGUAGGGGGUUUGAAGACGAUUAGAUACCGUCGUAAUCUCUACCAUAAACUAUGCCGACUAGAGAUAGGGAAAUGCCUACCUUGGCUUCUCCUGCACCUCAUGA